CAACCAACAAUUAUCAUAAUCUUCCAACCACUAAACUACUUAAAACAUAACGAAAGUAUAUAUUUACCUCUUGGUUGUUAUACUCUUGCUCAAAUUCUUGAUUUCAAUCUUUCUCAAUUAAAUUGACAGCUUUAGAUUGAAGGAAGGAACUGCUCUAAAUCUUCUCCUUCUAUAAAAGACCCAAAUUUUUAUUUAAAAAACUUUUGUAUUUUCUUUUCACUUGCAAAUGGGUGGAAUGAAAAUUAAACUGAUGAAGAAUGAGGAAUGAGGAGAUAACUGAUUCAUAUUUGAUUAACUAAUUGUUAUUGGAAGAAGAAAGGUCUGA
This 325-nucleotide long non-coding RNA is filed under the name Panax ginseng (ginseng). RNAcentral describes it as "long non-coding RNA (PGIN_LNC013323)". The record is from RNAcentral. Lineage: Eukaryota; Viridiplantae; Streptophyta; Magnoliopsida; Apiales; Araliaceae.